UACGGAGGGGGCGAGCGUUAUUCGGAAUUAUUGGGCGUAAAGGGCGCGUAGGCGGCCACGCACGUCCGUUGUGAAAUCGCCCGGCUCAACUGGGCGGGGUCAGCGGAUACGGCGCGGCUGGAGCAAGCUAGGGGGCAAUGGAAUUCCCGGUGUAGUGGUGGAAUGCGUAGAUAUCGGGAGGAACACCAGUGGCGAAGGCGGUUGCCUGGAGCUUUGCUGACGCUGAUGCGCGAAAGCGUGGGGAGCGAUCCGG
RNAcentral lists this ribosomal RNA (253 nucleotides) under uncultured bacterium. RNAcentral describes it as "partial 16S ribosomal RNA". It matches the Rfam family "Bacterial small subunit ribosomal RNA", at positions 524 to 776 of the family's 1533-position model. The record is from RNAcentral.